RNAcentral lists this ribosomal RNA (253 nucleotides) under uncultured bacterium. RNAcentral describes it as "partial 16S ribosomal RNA". It matches the Rfam family "Bacterial small subunit ribosomal RNA", at positions 524 to 776 of the family's 1533-position model. The record is from RNAcentral.
UACGGAGGGGGCUAGCGUUGUUCGGAAUUACUGGGCGUAAAGCGCACGUAGGCGGCUUUGUAAGUUAGAGGUGAAAGCCCAGGGCUCAACCCUGGAAUUGCCUUUAAGACUGAAUCGCUUGAACAUCGGAGAGGUAAGUGGAAUUCCGAGUGUAGAGGUGAAAUUCGUAGAUAUUCGGAAGAACACCAGUGGCGAAGGCGACUUACUGGACGAUUGUUGACGCUGAGGUGCGAAAGCGUGGGGAGCAAACAGG